Molecule: unclassified non-coding RNA, 246 nt
Filed under: Hevea brasiliensis (rubber tree)
Lineage: Eukaryota; Viridiplantae; Streptophyta; Magnoliopsida; Malpighiales; Euphorbiaceae
Source: RNAcentral
GCGCCGGAACAGCAGACAGAUCAUGCCCGCCGAAGGUCAGCGUGCCGGCAUCGGGUUCGGUCAAACCCAUGAUGGUGCGCAGCGUCGUCGUUUUGCCCGCUCCAUUACGGCCGAUCAACGCAAUCGUCUGGCUGGCGGCAAAAAUGAAAUGACACCUUGCGCAGGAUUGGCGCAUCCGCGAUGGCAACGCUGAGAGAUGAUGCCUGCAACACGCUAGCCUCCAAUCACGGUGCGGAUGACCUCCGC